Molecule: non-coding RNA, 109 nt
Filed under: Bacteroidota bacterium
Lineage: Bacteria; Pseudomonadati; Bacteroidota
Description: Bacteroidetes bacterium SAM-I sequence
Rfam family: SAM riboswitch aptamer (S box leader)
About the family: The SAM riboswitch is found upstream of a number of genes which code for proteins involved in methionine or cysteine biosynthesis in Gram-positive bacteria. The SAM riboswitch acts at the level of transcription termination control.
Source: RNAcentral
UUGUUAUCACGAAAGGCAGAGGGAAUAGACCCAUAGAAGCCUUAGCAACCCUUUAUAUUUAAAGUAGGUGCUACAUUCUACAAAUUUUAAUUAAUUUGACAGAUAACUU